This 468-nucleotide ribosomal RNA is filed under the name uncultured bacterium. RNAcentral describes it as "partial 16S ribosomal RNA". It matches the Rfam family "Bacterial small subunit ribosomal RNA", at positions 28 to 507 of the family's 1533-position model. The record is from RNAcentral.
GACGAACGCUGGCGGCGUGCUUAACACAUGCAAGUCGAACGGAAAGGCCCUGCUUUUGUGGGGUGCUCGAGUGGCGAACGGGUGAGUAACACGUGAGUAACCUGCCCUUGACUUUGGGAUAACUUCAGGAAACUGGGGCUAAUACCGGAUAGGAGCUCCUGCUGCAUGGUGGGGGUUGGAAAGUUUCGGCGGUUGGGGAUGGACUCGCGGCUUAUCAGCUUGUUGGUGGGGUAGUGGCUUACCAAGGCUUUGACGGGUAGCCGGCCUGGGAGGGUGACCGGCCGCAUUGGGACUGAGAUACGGCCCAGACUCCUACGGGAGGCAGCAGUGGGGAAUAUUGCACAAUGGGCGGAAGCCUGAUGCAGCAACGCCGCGUGCGGGAUGACGGCCUUCGGGUUGUAAACCGCUUUCGCCUGUGACGAAGCGUGAGUGACGGUAAUGGGUAAAGAAGCACCGGCUAACUACGUG